This 398-nucleotide long non-coding RNA is filed under the name Salvia miltiorrhiza (redroot sage). Its description in RNAcentral is "long non-coding RNA (SMIL_LNC003012)". Lineage: Eukaryota; Viridiplantae; Streptophyta; Magnoliopsida; Lamiales; Lamiaceae. The record is from RNAcentral.
CAUUUUAUUUCUUACAAUAACUAAAAAUUUUCAUUUCAACCAAGCACAUGUAAUAUAAAUUUCCAAUCACCAACACAAGAAAAAAAAAAUUUGAAUCUCUGCUGCUGCCAUGGAUUCAUCGAGUGGAAUAUCGUCGAAUUCAUCGGGGCUGCAGACUCGGCAUCGAAGGAGGAUCUGCAGCAGACGAUGGAUUUGAGGAAGAGGAAGUGGAUUUGUUGACGUCCUCGAUGCCGAUUAUGCCCUGGAGGAAGUAGAGAGCGGGGCGGAGCUGCCGCUCCACGCUGCAGGCGAGGAGGCGGAGGUCGGCGGCGUCCACGCGGGCCUCGCGGAGGAGGAAGGUGGAAGACAACAGCCGCCGACUCUCCAGAUCUGGAGCAAGAUGUCGAAGACAACACCCC